UACGUAGGGUGCGAGCGUUAAUCGGAAUUACUGGGCGUAAAGCGUGCGCAGGCGGUGAUGUAAGACAGGUGUGAAAUCCCCGGGCUUAACCUGGGAACUGCAUUUGUGACUGCAUCGCUGGAGUGCGGCAGAGGGGGAUGGAAUUCCGCGUGUAGCAGUGAAAUGCGUAGAUAUCGGAAGGAACAUCAGUGGCGAAAGCGGCUUCCUGGACCAGUACCGACGUUCAGGCACGAAAGCGUGGGGAGCAAACAGG
RNAcentral lists this ribosomal RNA (253 nucleotides) under uncultured bacterium. Its description in RNAcentral is "partial 16S ribosomal RNA". It matches the Rfam family "Bacterial small subunit ribosomal RNA", at positions 524 to 776 of the family's 1533-position model. The record is from RNAcentral.